Molecule: long non-coding RNA, 1155 nt
Filed under: Equus caballus (horse)
Lineage: Eukaryota; Metazoa; Chordata; Mammalia; Perissodactyla; Equidae
Description: lncRNA (ENSECAG00000056337.1)
Source: RNAcentral
CUGGAACUCAGUUACAUGACCAUACCUAAUCCCAAAGUUGACCAGCAAAUGUGGUCCAGCUGUGUGUCAGGAAGAAAAGGAAAUAAAUUUGGUGAUCGUCUAGCAGUCGUCCCACACCCACCCUGUGAUGAUCCUAGUGAGGGGUAAAGGGAUGGAUCAGAUUGGAUCUUUGUCCCUAGGGGACUCAGAGUCUGGCGAGAGAGGCAAAACCAUUCAGAAGUGACUGCUAUACAAGGCAGAAGUGACGAAGGCCUGGGUUAUUGCAGACUCGGGGGAGCAUACCUGAGAGGCCCUAAUGGCAGGUGACAGGAGUGGAGUGGCCUGUGACAUCUGAUUGAGUAAACUUGCGAGCUCUUUGCAACAACCACAAGGCAGAGCCAACCAACCCUUGCCCCUUCCAACCCUAAUUACUGCUGCACCAAAACAGCCCACAUGUUCUCGCCGGGUGGAACAGAGCAGAGGAAGCUCCCUUUUGGAAACACAAAUAUGUGCUCUUCAAGGUGAAGGUAUGGUUUGCCCAUUCCCAUUCUCUACCUUAAAUUUCUUUUUAGGAGAUCAGCAAAUUGAGAAUUUGGUAAAUGUGUCAAAACUUAGAAGUAAAAUCGGAACCAUCUGGAGGCAAAAAAGAGCCCAGACUGUGAAAGGGGCCUUCUCUUAUUACUCCUCAGCUUCUUCCUGUCCUGUUAAUUCAUUUAGCAAACAGCUUCUAAGCUCUCAGACCAGGCUUAGGACUGAAUCGGGGGCAGAAAUAAAUCCAAAACUAAUCCUGCCCUUAGUGUAUUCACAGGCUAGUAAAGAAACAGGACAAAAAUGGGACUCCCCUAUAGGGGAAAAAAUGGAACGAGCCAGAGGGGACAGACAGAGAAAAGACUAUAAGACAGUGGCUCAGAAUCCAGCAACUCAAGGACUUACAAAGGUGUCGAGCCCAGUGGCUUAUUCCUCUUUGUGGAGUCACAGAGAGCUUUGAGAAUCUGAUGAAAUUUGUAAAUUUUCUCCUCCCAAGAAUAAGACACAUAAGCACAUGUGAAAAAAAUUUUACUUACAUCAGUUUUUACUUACACCUUAUCUGGGCCAAUCCCUCCAUGUUAUAGUUCUUCAUUAAUUUGUUGAACAAAUACUUAGAGAGCACUUACCUGUUAUUUUUUUUUUCUUUUU